Molecule: ribosomal RNA, 1015 nt
Filed under: uncultured bacterium
Lineage: Bacteria
Description: bacterial SSU rRNA
Rfam family: Bacterial small subunit ribosomal RNA
Source: RNAcentral
AGAGUUUGAUCCUGGCUCAGAACGAACGCUGGCGGCGUGCUUAACACAUGCAAGUCGAGUGCGCGUUCUUGUAGCAAUACAGGAAUGGCGCACGGCGCACGGGUGCGUAACACGUGGGUAAUCUGCCCUCUGAUGGGGAAUAACCCGCCGAAAGGCGGGCUAAUUCCGCAUAACAUUCCUUGGACUCCGGUUCGAGGAUUCAAAGGCGUAAGUCGUCGGAGGUGGAGCCCGCGCCCGAUUAGCUAGUUGGUGAGGUAACGGCUCACCAAGGCAAUGAUCGGUAGCUGGUCUGAGAGGAUGGCCAGCCACACUGGAACUGAGACACGGUCCAGACUCCUACGGGAGGCAGCAGUGGGGAAUCUUGCACAAUGGGCGAAAGCCUGAUGCAGCGACGCCGCGUGGGGGAUGAAGCUUCUCGGAGUGUAAACCCCUUUCGACCCGGACGAAUGCCCCGCAAGGGGAGUGACGGUACGGGUAUAAGAAGCCCCGGCUAACUACGUGCCAGCAGCCGCGGUAAGACGUAGGGGGCCAGCGUUGUUCGGAAUUACUGGGUGUAAAGGGUUCGUAGGCGGUGUGGCAAGUUGGGAGUGAAAUCUCUGGGCUCAACUCAGAGGCUGCUUCCAAAACUGCCGUGCUGGAGUGUGGGAGAGGCGCGUGGAAUUGCAGGUGUAGCGGUGAAAUGCGUAGAUAUCUGCAGGAACACCCGUGGCGAAAGCGGCGCGCUGGACCACUACUGACGCUGAGGAACGAAAGCUAGGGGAGCAAACAGGAUUAGAUACCCUGGUAGUCCUAGCCCUAAACGAUCAGGACUUGGGGUGCCACCCGUUCGGGUGUCGUCCCGGAGCUAACGCGUUAAGUCCUGCACCUGGGGAGUACGGUCGCAAGACUGAAACUCAAAGGAAUUGACGGGGGCCCGCACAAGCGGUGGAACAUGUGGUUCAAUUCGACGCUACGCGAGGACCUUACCUGGGCUCGAAAUGCUUCUGACCAGCUGGUGGAAAACACGGGCCUUCCG